AGACCCGAAACCCGGUGAUCUAGCCAUGGGCAGGUUGAAGGUUGGGUAACACUAACUGGAGGACCGAACCGACUAAUGUUGAAAAAUUAGCGGAUGACUUGUGGCUGGGGGUGAAAGGCCAAUCAAACCGGGAGAUAGCUGGUUCUCCCCGAAAGCUAUUUAGGUAGCGCCUCGUGAAUUCAUCUCCGGGGGUAGAGCACUGUUUCGGCAAGGGGGUCAUCCCGACUUACCAACCCGAUGCAAACUGCGAAUACCGGAGAAUGUUAUCACGGGAGACACACGGCGGGUGCUAACGUCCGUCGUGAAGAGGGAAACAACCCAGACCGCCAGCUAAGGUCCCAAAGUCAUGGUUAAGUGGGAAACGAUGUGGGAAGGCCCAGACAGCCAGGAUGUUGGCUUAGAAGCAGCCAUCAUUUAAAGAAAGCGUAAUAGCUCACUGGUCGAGUCGGCCUGCGCGGAAGAUGUAACGGGGCUAAACCAUGCACCGAAGCUGCGGCAGCGACACUGUGUGUUGUUGGGUAGGGGAGCGUUCUGUAAGCCUGUGAAGGUGUGCUGUGAGGCAUGCUGGAGGUAUCAGA
Molecule: ribosomal RNA, 578 nt
Filed under: Escherichia coli
Lineage: Bacteria; Pseudomonadati; Pseudomonadota; Gammaproteobacteria; Enterobacterales; Enterobacteriaceae
Description: partial 23S ribosomal RNA
Rfam family: Bacterial large subunit ribosomal RNA
Source: RNAcentral